GGAUACUGGAUUUUGGACAUUAAAUCUGGUUUGGAUAGAAAGAAAAACAAACCUUUUGUUCGUCUUUAAUAAGCCGGUUAUCCUGGUCCGCGUCGUGGAGCCUGUUCCUGGAAAACUGAGCAUGAGGUGCUCAGUGAGAUUGUCUUGCCCGCGGAUCGCUGCAUCGAUUCACCCAGCACUGUUCUUCCGCUCCAUCUUGUUCUAACCUCGUCUCUAAAUGGUGGAAAACAUCUAAAACACAUCCUCUACAGCCCUGCUUUGAAGCGUUUCACACAAUCACACUCUGGCGUUCGUGUAUCCGUGUUUGAAGCGUCCCCAGGCUCCAGUGGACAGUUAGGACGACGUGGUUGGCACGGUGUGUUGAUGCAGACGGCUUUGUUUAACAACGUGCUUGACCGUGUUUUAUAAUGCUGUUCUCCCCGCUUGAUAAAAUGCUCAGGGCUGAGUCUCCCAAAAACAUCACCAGGUUAAGAUCAUUAACUGGGAGAGAGAGAGAGAGAGAGAGAGAGAGAGUGUUCAAUGUAAGGCACUCUCGACCGUUUAAGUGAGGCUUUUGGGAAACUGGGCUCUGCUCUGUUUAUUGACGCAUUCAGCUGGAGAUGUAGGACUCGUGUUAAUGUCUCACUAGAUAUGUCCACGGCCUCAGCCGAGAGGCUGACACAAUGCACGAA
This is a long non-coding RNA of Ictalurus punctatus (channel catfish), 671 nucleotides long. Lineage: Eukaryota; Metazoa; Chordata; Actinopteri; Siluriformes; Ictaluridae. The record is from Ensembl.